This 101-nucleotide antisense RNA is filed under the name Veronia pacifica. RNAcentral describes it as "Enterovibrio sp. sw014 Vibrio RNA AS9". It matches the Rfam family "Vibrio RNA AS9". From Rfam's summary of the family: Identified by direct cloning an parallel sequencing experiments with 5S/tRNA depletion. Confirmed by Northern blot. The record is from Rfam by way of RNAcentral. Lineage: Bacteria; Pseudomonadati; Pseudomonadota; Gammaproteobacteria; Vibrionales; Vibrionaceae.
CUCGCAGCGGUCCUGCGUCAUGGUCAGACAAAUCAAACCCCGGCCAUAGGUGGCCAUAAAGUUUAUCGCUUCAGGGGUGAUUUGCUCUGCGGCAAUGAUCA